AAGUCGAGGGAAUCCCAGCAAUGGGGGAACCGGCGUAAGGGGCAGUAAGGCAUGGGUACCUACCCUGAAGUUCGGGAUAGCCAUCAGAGAUGGUGGGUAAUACCGGGUGAUGUCGAGAGACCAAAGAUUUAUCGCUUUGGGAGGGGCCCAUGUGAUAUUAGCUAGUUGGUGAGGUAACGGCUCACCAAGGCAAAGAUGUCUAGCGGGUAUGAGAGUACGACCCGCGCCACUCGCACUGAGACACUGGCGAGACACCUACGGGUGGCUGCAGUCGAGGAUCUUCGUCAAUGGGCGAAAGCCUGAACGAGCGAUGCCGCGUGCGCGAUGAAGGCCUUCGGGUUGUAAAGCGCUUUAGUGGGGGAGAAAAGGGUAAAACUUUGAUCUAUCCCAAAAAUAAGCUCGGGCUAAGUUCGUGCCAGCAGCCGCGGUAAGACGAACCGAGCGAACGUUGUUCGGAAUCACUGGGCUUAAAGGGCGCGUAGGCGGGCUGUCAAGUCUGGGGUGAAAUCCCACGGCUCAACCGUGGAACUGCCUUAGAUACUGACGGCCUCGAGGGAGAUAGGGGCGAGCGGAACUGUGAGUGGAGCGGUGAAAUGCGUUGAUAUUCACAGGAACUCCGGUGGCGAAGGCGGCUCGCUGGAUCUUUUCUGACGCUGAGGCGCGAAAGCUAGGGGAGCAAACGGGAUUAGAUACCCCGGUA
Molecule: ribosomal RNA, 700 nt
Filed under: uncultured bacterium
Lineage: Bacteria
Description: bacterial SSU rRNA
Rfam family: Bacterial small subunit ribosomal RNA
Source: RNAcentral